GGGGAAUUUUCCACAAUGGGCGAAAGCCUGAUGGAGCAACGCCGCGUGUGUGAUGAAGGUCUUCGGAUCGUAAAGCACUUUCGACCGGGACGAAAAACCUUUGGCUAACAUCCAGGGGCCUGACGGUACCGGGAGAAGAAGCACCGGCUAACUCUGUGCCAGCAGCCGCGGUAAUACAGAGGGUGCAAGCGUUGUUCGGAAUUAUUGGGCGUAAAGCGCGUGUAGGCGGCUUUGCAAGUCAGAUGUGAAAGCCCUCGGCUUAACCGAGGAAGUGCGUCUGAAACUGCAGAGCUUGAGUCUCGGAGAGGAUGGCGGAAUUCCGCAAGUAGAGGUGAAAUUCGUAGAUAUGCGGAGGAACACCGGUGGCGAAGGCGGCCAUCUGGACGAGAACUGACGCUGAGACGCGAAAGCGUGGGGAGCAAAC
This 424-nucleotide ribosomal RNA is filed under the name uncultured bacterium. RNAcentral describes it as "bacterial SSU rRNA". It matches the Rfam family "Bacterial small subunit ribosomal RNA", at positions 356 to 773 of the family's 1533-position model. The record is from RNAcentral.